GUGCUUGCUUCAGCAGCACAUACACUAAAAUUGGAAUGAUACAGAGAAGAUUAGCAUGGCCCCUAUGCAAGGAUGAUACACAAAUAUUUUUGAAAUAUUUUC
Ictidomys tridecemlineatus (thirteen-lined ground squirrel) is the source of this 102-nucleotide small nuclear RNA. The record is from Ensembl. NCBI's taxonomy places the organism in Eukaryota, Metazoa, Chordata, Mammalia, Rodentia, Sciuridae.